Molecule: ribosomal RNA, 150 nt
Filed under: uncultured bacterium
Lineage: Bacteria
Description: partial 16S ribosomal RNA
Rfam family: Bacterial small subunit ribosomal RNA
Source: RNAcentral
UAGGGGAAUUUUCGUUCAAUGGGGGGCAACCCUGAACGAGCAAUGCCGCGUGAGCGAAGAAGGUCUUCGGAUUGUAAAGCUCUGUUGCCGGGGAAAAAGGAAGGAAAGAGGAAAAUGCUUUUUCUUUGGAUGGUACCCGGCCAGAAAGUC